Long non-coding RNA from Lynx canadensis (Canada lynx), 653 nucleotides. RefSeq lists it as uncharacterized. The record is from RefSeq and is a predicted model, not a curated record. The transcript is spliced from 3 exons. Lineage: Eukaryota; Metazoa; Chordata; Mammalia; Carnivora; Felidae.
ACUCCUGGAAGGAGCCUGCUGUAGACUCUGAACCUCCCCCCUCUCGAAAUUAGCUUUAAAAAUGAACAUUGCUUUUCCUGACACAAAGCCCAAUAUGAUACGAGGAUACCGAAGGAGCCGCACAAUAUACCCCUUCAAAAUACGCCACUGUGAUUCAGUUGUGCUGUUCCCAGUGGAGUCCAAGAAAGGAAAGACAGAACCGAGGUUGCUUUGCCUAAUUUAAAGGCAGGCUCAAGAGUGGGAAGGACAGUGCAAGUUGUUUUGGACUUUUCUCUACCCAGGGUCCGGGACAUGAUACCCCAAAAUGCGACACAUUAGCAUAGUGAGUAUUUCAAGGAAUUCGAGAAAUGGCAUGUGCAGGAAGAACCCUCUGACCUUUCCCUGAAGCAGGUCGUUAACCCUAAUGUGAGAAGUGCCCUCCCUGUACACAGAGGUAAGGGGGCAUCCUUAUCUCAGAAGAGAAAGGAACAAAAAGGAACCUGAACAAACAGGCCUUGCUAAGUUUGCCCCCAUUUAUUACACAUAGCUCAUACUCUUUGUUCUAUCAUAUCUUUCCAUGACUUUACAGUUCUCAUCAAACCUAGCAUAAAACACAGGUUUAACCAUUUCUUUGGGUUUUCAUUUCUUUAUGAGGGCUCCUGUGUCACUUAAAA